GAUGAACGCUGACAGAAUGCUUAACACAUGCAAGUCGAUGGGGAAGUGGUGCUUGCACCAUGGUAACCAUGGCGGACGGGUGAGUAACGCGUAAGGAACUUGCCUGCGGGACUGGGAUAACAGCAGGAAACUGCUGAUAAUACCGGAUAAGGUCAUUAAUCUGCACAGCUUAGUGAUGAAAGGAGACGCCUGCGGAGAGCCUUGCGUCCUAUUAGCUAGUUGGAGGGGUAACGGCGCACCAAGGCGAAGAUAGGUAGCCGGCCUGAGAGGGUGGACGGCCACAAGGGGACUGAGACACGGCCCUUACUCCUACGGGAGGCAGCAGUGGGGAAUAGUGGACAAUGGGGGCGACCCUGAUCCAGCAAUUCUGUGUGCACGAAGACGGUUUUCGGAGUGUAAAGUGCUUUCAGCAGGGAAGAAGGAAGUGACGGUACCUGCAGAAGAAGCGACGGCUAAAUACGUG
Molecule: ribosomal RNA, 463 nt
Filed under: uncultured bacterium
Lineage: Bacteria
Description: partial 16S ribosomal RNA
Rfam family: Bacterial small subunit ribosomal RNA
Source: RNAcentral